UACGAAUGGGGCAAGCGUUGUUCGGAAUCACUGGGCGUAAAGCGUGUGUAGGCGGUUAAUCAAGUCAGAAGUGAAAUCCCAGGGCUUAACCCUGGAAUUGCUUUUGAAACUGAUUGGCUAGAGUACUGGAGAGGUUAGCAGAAUUCCGAGUGUAGAGGUGAAAUUCGCAGAUAUUCGGAGGAAUACCAGUGGCGUAAGCGGCUAACUGGACAGUAACUGACGCUGAGACACGAAAGCGUGGGGAUCAAACGG
Molecule: ribosomal RNA, 252 nt
Filed under: uncultured bacterium
Lineage: Bacteria
Description: partial 16S ribosomal RNA
Rfam family: Bacterial small subunit ribosomal RNA
Source: RNAcentral